UACGUAGGGUGCGAGCGUUGUCCGGAAUUACUGGGCGUAAAGAGCUCGUAGGUGGUUUGUCGCGUUGUUCGUGAAAACCGGGGGCUUAACCCUCGGCGUGCGGGCGAUACGGGCAGACUUGAGUACUGCAGGGGAGACUGGAAUUCCUGGUGUAGCGGUGGAAUGCGCAGAUAUCAGGAGGAACACCGAUGGCGAAGGCAGGUCUCUGGGCCGCAACUGACGCUGAGGAGCGAAAGCAUGGGGGAGCGAACAGG
This 254-nucleotide ribosomal RNA is filed under the name uncultured bacterium. Its description in RNAcentral is "partial 16S ribosomal RNA". It matches the Rfam family "Bacterial small subunit ribosomal RNA", at positions 524 to 776 of the family's 1533-position model. The record is from RNAcentral.